Molecule: ribosomal RNA, 380 nt
Filed under: Branchiodrilus hortensis
Lineage: Eukaryota; Metazoa; Annelida; Clitellata; Tubificida; Naididae
Description: partial 12S ribosomal RNA
Source: RNAcentral
UCAUGUCAUAAAAUUGGCCGGCUACUACAAAUAACAAUUUAAAAUCUAAAGAACUUGGCGGUGUCUUAUCACACCAGGGGAACCUGUUCCUUAAUUCGAUAAUCCACGAAAUCACUACCACUAAUUGAAAAAGCAGUUUGUGUACUGCCGUCAUCAGCAUACCUUAAAAAGUUACAGUAUGCAAUAUUAGGAAACCUAAAUAUUUCAGGUCAUAGUACAGCCUACUUAGUGGGGGAAAUGGGUUACAAUCACAAAAUAGAUACCAAAUCACGAACUAAAGUUCUGCAAAAAGGUGGACUUGGUAGUAAUGAAAAACAAUAAAUUUUCAUGAAAAAAGAUCUAAGACAUGCACACUCGCCCKYCWCUCCCSUCUAAAGAGG